This 253-nucleotide ribosomal RNA is filed under the name uncultured bacterium. Its description in RNAcentral is "partial 16S ribosomal RNA". It matches the Rfam family "Bacterial small subunit ribosomal RNA", at positions 524 to 776 of the family's 1533-position model. The record is from RNAcentral.
UACGUAGGGUGCAAGCGUUGUCCGGAAUUAUUGGGCGUAAAGAGCUCGUAGGCGGUUUGUCGCGUCUGCUGUGAAAACUCGGGGCUUAACUCCGGGCCUGCAGUGGGUACGGGCAGACUAGAGUGCGGUAGGGGAGACUGGAAUUCCUGGUGUAGCGGUGAAAUGCGCAGAUAUCAGGAGGAACACCGGUGGCGAAGGCGGGUCUCUGGGCCGUAACUGACGCUGAGGAGCGAAAGUGUGGGGAGCGAACAGG